This 497-nucleotide ribosomal RNA is filed under the name uncultured bacterium. RNAcentral describes it as "partial 16S ribosomal RNA". It matches the Rfam family "Bacterial small subunit ribosomal RNA", at positions 28 to 507 of the family's 1533-position model. The record is from RNAcentral.
GAUGAACGCUGGCGGCGUGCCUAAUACAUGCAAGUCGAGCGAACAGACGAGGAGCUUGCUCCUCUGACGUUAGCGGCGGACGGGUGAGUAACACGUGGAUAACCUACCUAUAAGACUGGGAUAACUUCGGGAAACCGGAGCUAAUACCGGAUAAUAUAUUGAACCGCAUGGGUCAAUAGUAAAAGACGGUUUUGCUGUCACUUAUAGAUGGAUCCCGGCCGCAUUAGAUAGUUGGUAAGGUAACGGCUUACCAAGGCGAGGAGGCGUAUCCGACCUGACAGGGUGGUCGGCCGCACUGGAACUGAGACGGGGUCCAGACUACUACGGGAGGCAGCAGUAGGGAAUCGGCCGCAAUGGGCGAAAGCCUUACGGAGCAACGCCGCGUGAGUGAUGAAGGUCUUCGGAUCGUAAAACUCUGUUAUUAGGGAAGAACAAAUGUGUAAUUAACUAUGCACGUAUUGACGGUACUUGGUCAGAAAGCCACGGCUAACUACGUG